Molecule: long non-coding RNA, 2507 nt
Organism: Camelus dromedarius (Arabian camel)
Lineage: Eukaryota; Metazoa; Chordata; Mammalia; Artiodactyla; Camelidae
Exons: 3
Source: RefSeq, a predicted model, not a curated record
GUAUGUUCACAUGAAACUUAUCACACUGUGUUUUCAUCCUUGAUCUGAGUACUGGGGAUGCAUUCCCGCAGAGAGACAUCUGGUCAACUCUCACCAUUUCUGCUCUCUGUCCAAGGUCUCUGUCUGUGAGGCCGCCCUGAUCCCUCUAACAGUCAAUAUUCCACAUUUAUGAGAGCACAUUUUAACUCCGACUUCUGCUUUUGGGGUUGGCUAUGAGCUAAACCCUUGAGUAACUGUAACAUUCCCUCGCUCUCUCUGCAGACAAACAUGGUGCCAGUCCCCUGUGUUUAUUUUUAUGACCAUAUUUGCUUAUGCUAGGCACUGCCUACAAUGCCUGGGAUGCAGCAACUACGUAUCCAAGCCUUAGGAUUUAAAAUCUAUCAACCACUUGAAUAUCUCUGAACCUUCUAGUUUUCACCGGUAUGUUUUCCAUAUUUCUGUGGCUCGUUGUGAAUUACCAGUUUGCAUGUAUGUGUGCGUGCUGUGGCCCACAGAUAGAGGCUAUGUGUUUUUAAAGCAGAGACCAUGACUCUUUUUUUUUCAGUCAUGCUCUCCCUGGUGUGGAGCCCAGUGCUUUGCAGCUAGUAAGGAUUCAACACCACCGCUACCAUGACCCAGAGACUGGAUGAAUGCCUGUCAGUAAAGCAGCCAAGCCAAAAUCUUGGCUUCCCAGACUCAUCUGGCCAAAGAAGUUGGCCUCUUCUACCACUAACAGAAUUAUUCCCAUGUGAGGCAAGCUCACCAUUUUCCUUUGAUCUUUGCGCAUCAGGAAGCUUGUCAGAUAAAAUGUCCUAAUAGAUUCAAUCACGUGAAGUGACUCCCAGCUAUGGCGGCGAGCAGACGCGAUCAGUACUCAAAAGCUAUGCCCAACCCCGUUCUCCCUGGUCUAGUCCACAAGAGAGGCUGGAAAGCUAAAAUAGUUUAUUUCUUCAAGCCUCCUUCCCACUUCUUUUGGCAGUGGGUACCCCAGGAUUUAUUUCUGGCCAAUUCAUGUAAACAAAGUCUCUGGGGAAGUUUUCCAUCUCUGAAACAAAAAGCAAAAGCUCACUAGGAAAAAUCUCCUCCCACUUUGCCCUUCCUUUUCUUCUUGCCUGGAAUGCAGAUGAAAAGUAUGGAUGCAUAGCAGCCACCAAGAGACAUGAGAUGGCAAGCAUAAGGACAAAAGCCUAUCACACAGAAUGGUAGAGGAGACCCAAGGAAAGAGGUUAGUUGCUUAAGCCAUCCCUAUGCCUCUGUGCUGUCUGUGGAUUAAAUCCUCCAGAUCUCUAGUUGUAUAUAUUUGAACCACUGGUAUCUUUCGUUUGCUAGCUCGAUACAAAGCUGACUGAUACAAUAACCUGCAGGACCAUUAUUGAGCUCUUUGCAGAUACCUGUAUUCAAGCGAGAUCAUAGUUAACUUCUCAAGACGAAGGAAAACGAAUCUACUCUUUUAUAAUGUAUAUUGAUGGUGGGCGUAUUCAUAAUCUACCUUGAAAAUACUGUUAUGUUACGAUGACUUUGCUCUUGGAAUAUUUUAUGCCCUUGACCCUUGGGUCUGGUCUAGAUAAAAUCUGUCCGCAUCCUCUCUGUCACAGCCUCUGCACAGUCAAAGGCUGUUCUUACUCUAUCUUGUAAAAUCAGUGCGCGCUCCUGUGCGCGGGCCCUGCAGGGCCGGCCCUCCCGCAGCUUCGCUGACUCGGCUUCCUCCUGGCUCCCCCACCCGUGCACCGAACUCGACUUCUUUGGCAUAUUUUGAUGUCAACACAUGUCCAUCAAAAUUAUAAUAAACAGCAAAACAUAGUCCCCUACAGAAUAUGAUAUUCAAAUGGUUAUUAAGCUGUUAUAAAAGGCAGCAGGAAUGAUCCAAAGCUGCCCCCCUACCCCCGUACUGGCUCCAAACCCAUUCAGAUUCAAGCUAACUCUCCAAAUUGGAAGACCUGGAUUUUUUUCAGGCCUUAACAGGACAAGAGAGCGUUUUUCUUCCUCUUCUCAGCUGCGUGGAUACGAGUCUAUCACGAAGCCAAAAGCCAUCUCUUCCUGAGUACCUGUGAAGGAGGCCGUUCACAGAUGAGGAAACUGAGGCACACAGAGGUGAAGCAACUCUCCUAAAAGAUACAGGACGGGGCGGAGCUGCGAUUUAAAUUGAGGAAGUCUAGGUAUUAAAGUCCACAUCUAGCCAACCACAAAACUACUCUGUGGCCGAUGCGACCCCGCAAGGCCCCCAGGUUAUGUUCAUAGCAGCACUAUUUACAAUGGCCAAGAAAUGAAAGUAACCUGAAUGUCCAUCGACAGAUGACUGGAUAAAGAAGAUGUGGUAUAUCUAUGCAAUGGAAAACUACUCAGCCAUAAAAAAUGAAAUAAUGCCAUUUGCAGCAGCAUGGAUGGACUUAGAGAUGAUCACACUAAGUGAAGUCAGUUGUGCACUGGUCCAUAUUAAUCUGCCUCUGAGUUUCUAACCUUAAGAAAAUACAAUCUCACCUCUCCAAAUGUGUAUAUUUUACUUGAAAUAACUUGGUCCUUUAUUUUCA